Molecule: ribosomal RNA, 424 nt
Filed under: uncultured bacterium
Lineage: Bacteria
Description: bacterial SSU rRNA
Rfam family: Bacterial small subunit ribosomal RNA
Source: RNAcentral
AUUGAACGCUGGCGGCAUGCCUAACACAUGCAAGUCGAACGGCAGCACGGCAGUAGCAAUACUGUGGGUGGCGAGUGGCGGACGGGUGAGGAAUACGUCGGAAUCUGCCCAGUCGUGGGGGAUAACUAGCCGAAAGGUUAGCUAAUACCGCAUACGACCGAGAGGUGAAAGCGGGGGACCGCAAGGCCUCGCGCGAUUGGAUGAGCCGACGUCGGAUUAGCUAGUUGGUGGGGUAAAGGCCCACCAAGGCGACGAUCCGUAGCUGGUCUGAGAGGAUGAUCAGCCACACUGGAACUGAGACACGGUCCAGACUCCUACGGGAGGCAGCAGUGGGGAAUAUUGGACAAUGGGCGCAAGCCUGAUCCAGCAAUGCCGCGUGUGUGAAGAAGGCCUCGGUGUAAGCACUUUAUCUAGACGAAAGACG